AGAGUUUGAUCAUGGCUCAGGACGAACGCUGGCGGCGUGCCUAACACAUGCAAGUCGAGCGAGAAAGUCUCCUUCGGGAGGCGAGUAAAGCGGCGAACGGGUGAGUAACACGUGAGCGAUCUACCCGGCGGCGGGGGAUAACUCAGGGAGACCUGAGCUAAUACCGCAUACAGCACCGGCUUGGAAGCCGGAUGUGAAAGCUGGCCUCUCGAAGAAGCUGGCACCGUCGGAUGAGCUCGCGGCCUAUCAGCUAGUUGGUGGGGUAACGGCCUACCAAGGCGAUGACGGGUAGCUGGCGUGAGAGCGUGGCCAGCCACACUGGGACUGAGACACGGCCCAGACUCCUAUGGGAGGCAGCAGUGGGGAAUAUUGCGCAAUGGGCGAAAGCCUGACGCAGCGACGCCGCGUGGGGGGGAGGAAGGCCUCAGGGUCGUAAACCCCUGUCAGGUGGGACGAACCACGGAUCGGUCAAUACCCGGUCCGCCUGACGGUACCACCAGAGGAAGCUCCGGCUAACUCCGUGCCAGCAGCCGCGGUAAUACGGAGGGAGCGAGCGUUGUUCGGAAUCACUGGGCGUAAAGGGCGCGUAGGCGGUCGGGUAAGUCGGGUGUGAAAUUCCGGGGCUCAACCCCGCGAACUGCAUCCGAUACUGCUCGACUAGAGAGAGGUAGGGGCGAGUAGAAUUCCCGGUGUAGCGGUGGAAUGCGUAGAUAUCGGGAAGAACACCGGUGGCGAAGGCGGCUCGCUGGGCCUUAUCUGACGCUGAAGCGCGAAAGCGUGGGGAGCAAACAGGAUUAGAUACCCUGGUAGUCCACGCCGUAAACGAUGGGUACUAGGUGUUGGGAGGAUUGACCCUCUCAGUGCCGACGCUAACGCAUUAAGUACCCCGCCUGGGGAGUACGGCCGCAAGGCUGAAACUCAAAGGAAUUGACGGGGGCCCGCACAAGC
Molecule: ribosomal RNA, 948 nt
Filed under: uncultured bacterium
Lineage: Bacteria
Description: bacterial SSU rRNA
Rfam family: Bacterial small subunit ribosomal RNA
Source: RNAcentral